This 1911-nucleotide long non-coding RNA is filed under the name Olea europaea (common olive). Its description in RNAcentral is "long non-coding RNA (OEUR_LNC003427)". Lineage: Eukaryota; Viridiplantae; Streptophyta; Magnoliopsida; Lamiales; Oleaceae. The record is from RNAcentral.
UUCUGCCCUCACCCUGUUGUUUUAAUUUUCUUGGCUUUUUUCUUCUAAACUAUUCACUGUCAAAACCGUUAUCUUGGCCAGAUAAAAGGUGUAAAGGCUUGACCAGGGUAUGUAAAAUGGGUGGCGGCGGGACUUGAAUGUAGAUUUUUAUUUGUUUUGAUACCACAUAGAACUACCUUGUCUGAAAGCCAGAUGAGAUGGUUCAAGGUCAACUUGGUAUUUGGUUCCCCUCUCUUGCCAGUGAUUACAGUGAGCUCAUCAUAUACAUAUUUUAAGAGUGGAAGGCAGUGAGAGUGUUGUUGACAGAAGAUAGAGAGCACAGAUGAUGAAGUGCUUGAAAUUGGCCCGCAUCUCACUCCUUUGUGCUCUCUAUUCUUCUGUCAUCACCCCUCAACCCCAUCUUCCGUAAAUGUAUUUUGCACUGUUUUUGUUCAAAUUCAUGAUAAUUCCUCAAGCCAAAUAGAAUGUUAUGUUAGCUUGUUUCUGGAGGUGAAAUUCAUAGAUUAAUUUUAUUAGCUAUUCCGGGACAGAAAAGGAAAAGAAAAAAAACCACUUGUUAUCUUUUGUAUCAACUUGAUUAUUAUUCUCUCUCCCUUCUUAUCCUAUACUCCAGUGAGUCCCUCUCUUCCAGAUUGAGUUGGAGAGUAAUUUUUUGGCAAAUCUAGUUAGGACUUUAUCUAUAAGUCCUUGUCUUCUUCUACUAGCUAGUAGAAUAAUUUGGUGAUUCGAAAAAACCUGGCUUGCUUGUCGCAAUUAAGUUGUGUUUGCAAAUUGCAGCCAAACAUAUGGAAUCCCUUGCACAUAUCUUUGCUAUGUUCAAUUGGGCACUGGUAAUUGUAAGUCAAUACACAUUUUACUAUUUAAUGCUUUAUAUUUAUCUUCUGAAUUUGCUACCUGUUAAUCUUCAUUUACCAACAUAUUUUUAUAGGGUUUAGUUAUUUAUUUUGUACUGAUACUCGGUGAAUUCGAUUCAUCUUCAUAAGUCAUCUGCAUUAACAACUUUCUAAAUUAUUUCAAUGGUCGUAGAUUAAUUAAUCUCGAAUUAAUAAUGUUAAUUACUGUUUAUAUCACACUUCAGGCUAUUGAAUAAUAUUAAUUUGCACAUAUGUUGAAGAAAUCCCUACAAAGCCCUACAAUUUACUAACUUAGGUACCUUGGAGAUUCAUUUUCUUGGGGAUUCUAUAAAAACCUAAACUAAUAUUAUUUCUUGCGUUUCCAUUUCUUACAGGAGAUUGAAGAAUAGAAUGAGAGAAAACAAAGAGAUGGGAACCCUCACAAAUGGCUCACACACAAACUGUGUGAAGAAAAUGGCCAAGUGUGCCUUUUAUAUGCCACCACAAAACCACAGAUUCAACGUCAGUAUUCGGCCACGUGUAAGGCCAAAUUGCACCAAAAUACAAGUCAAAAGUUGCAUUUCAAGAAAUGCACCUUUUCAAAAUAAUAGAAAGGUCCAAGUCAAAAAUGCGAGGCAAAUUUCAACCUGUAUGUUUCUAAAGAGUCAUGUUGAGUUUGCGAUAUUGUAUUAAUCAGGAGAAAAUUUAGGCGUAACUCUCGUAUGUUGUGAAGAGAUGUAAGACGUCUUAUCUGCAGUCUACGACUUGAGGAUUAUUGUAUCUGUUGAGCCGCAAAACCCUUGAAUCAAAGAUUUCUAGUGCAAAGACUCAAUCAAUAAACAUAUUGUAAAGCCUUAAAUCUAGAUUUAAAAAAAAAAAAAAAAAAAAAAACCAGAAUGGAGAUUGAAAAGUAUGUAAUCAAAUCUUUUGAUUUCAAUCAAUUAUUGUAGAAUUCUCAAAGUGAAAUUAUGUUUUUCUCGUAUUGCUGUAAACAUUGGGUAAAUGUGAUUGAAUGAUAACUACCAGAUUUCAAGAAACCACAAAAAUAAGGAAUUCAAUACCUUGAAUGGUGAUUCAC